Molecule: ribosomal RNA, 730 nt
Filed under: uncultured bacterium
Lineage: Bacteria
Description: bacterial SSU rRNA
Rfam family: Bacterial small subunit ribosomal RNA
Source: RNAcentral
AGUCGAGCGGAGAUGAGGUGCUUGCACCUUAUCUUAGCGGCGGACGGGUGAGCAAUGCUUAGGAAUCUGCCUAUUAGUGGGGGACAACAUUCCGAAAGGAAUGCUAAUACCGCAUACGUCCUACGGGAGAAAGCAGGGGAUCUUCGGACCUUGCGCUAAUAGAUGAGCCUAAGUCGGAUUAGCUAGUUGGUGGGGUAGAGGCCUACCAAGGCGACGAUCUGUAGCGGGUCUGAGAGGAUGAUCCGCCACACUGGGACUGAGACACGGCCCAGACUCCUACGGGAGGCAGCAGUGGGGAAUAUUGGACAAUGGGGGGAACCCUGAUCCAGCCUGCCGCGUGUGUGAAGAAGCCUUAUGGUUGUAAAGCACUUUAGCGAGGAGGAGGCUACUGAGACUAAUACUCUUGGAUAGUGGACGUUACUCGCAGAAUAAGCACCGGCUAACUCUGUGCCGCAGCCGCGGUAAUACAGAGGUGCGAGCGUUUAUCGGAUUUCUGGGCGUAAAGCGUGCGUAAGCGGCUUUUUAGUCGGAUGUGAAAUCCCCAGCUUAACUUGGGAAUUGCAUUCGAUACUGGGAAGCUAGAGUAUGGGAGAGAUGGUAGAAUUUCGGUGUAGCGGUGAAAUGCGUAAAUCUGGAGGAAUACCGAUGGCGAAAGCAGCAUCUGGCUAAUACUGACGCUGAAGUACCAAAGCAUGGGGGAGCAAACAGAUUAGAUACCCGGUAGUCCAUG